GCGGAAGUGGUGGAAUUGGUAGACACGCCAUCUUGAGGGGGUGGUGGCCUUAGGCCGUGGGGGUUCAAGUCCCCCCUUCCGCACCA
This 86-nucleotide transfer RNA is filed under the name Endozoicomonas sp. G2_1. Its description in RNAcentral is "tRNA-Leu". It matches the Rfam family "tRNA". Rfam says of the family: Transfer RNA (tRNA) molecules are approximately 80 nucleotides in length. Their secondary structure includes four short double-helical elements and three loops (D, anti-codon, and T loops). Further hydrogen bonds mediate the characteristic L-shaped molecular structure. tRNAs have two regions of fundamental functional importance: the anti-codon, which is responsible for specific mRNA codon recognition, and the 3' end, to which the tRNAs corresponding amino acid is attached (by aminoacyl-tRNA synthetases). tRNAs cope with the degeneracy of the genetic code in two manners: having more than one tRNA (with a specific anti-codon) for a particular amino acid; and 'wobble' base-pairing, i.e. permitting non-standard base-pairing at the 3rd anti-codon position. The record is from RNAcentral. Lineage: Bacteria; Pseudomonadati; Pseudomonadota; Gammaproteobacteria; Oceanospirillales; Endozoicomonadaceae.